ACCCGUCCUACCAUAUAACCCAGU
RNAcentral lists this non-coding RNA (24 nucleotides) under Arabidopsis thaliana (thale cress). Lineage: Eukaryota; Viridiplantae; Streptophyta; Magnoliopsida; Brassicales; Brassicaceae. The record is from RNAcentral.